UACAGAGGGUGCAAGCGUUGUUCGGAAUCAUUGGGCGUAAAGGGCGUGUAGGCGGUUUGUUAAGUCAUGUGUGAAAUCCCUCGGCUCAACCGGGGAACGACGCAUGAAACUGGCAAGCUAGAGUACCAAAGAGGGUGGUGGAAUUCCCGGUGUAGCGGUGAAAUGCGCAGAUAUCAGGAGGAACACCAAUAGCGAAGGCAGCUCGCUGGGACGUUACUGACACUGAGGCGCGAAAGCGUGGGGAGCGAACAGG
This 253-nucleotide ribosomal RNA is filed under the name uncultured bacterium. RNAcentral's name for it is "partial 16S ribosomal RNA". It matches the Rfam family "Bacterial small subunit ribosomal RNA", at positions 524 to 776 of the family's 1533-position model. The record is from RNAcentral.